UGCAAGUCGAACGAUGAAGCCCAGCUUGCUGGGUGGAUUAGUGGCGAACGGGUGAGUAACACGUGAGUAACCUGCCCUUAACUCUGGGAUAAGCCUGGGAAACUGGGUCUAAUACCGGAUAGGAGCGCCUACCGCAUGGUGGGUGUUGGAAAGAUUUAUCGGUUUUGGAUGGACUCGCGGCCUAUCAGCUUGUUGGUGAGGUAAUGGCUCACCAAGGCGACGACGGGUAGCCGGCCUGAGAGGGUGACCGGCCACACUGGGACUGAGACACGGCCCAGACUCCUACGGGAGGCAGCAGUGGGGAAUAUUGCACAAUGGGCGAAAGCCUGAUGCAGCGACGCCGCGUGAGGGAUGACGGCCUUCGGGUUGUAAACCUCUUUCAGUAGGGAAGAAGCGAAAGUGACGGUACCUGCAGAAGAAGCACCGGCUAACUACGUGCCAGCAGCCGCGGUAAUACGUAGGGUGCGAGCGUUAUCCGGAAUUAUUGGGCGUAAAGAGCUCGUAGGCGGUUUGUCGCGUCUGUCGUGAAAGUCCGGGGCUUAACCCCGGAUCUGCGGUGGGUACGGGCAGACUAGAGUGCAGUAGGGGAGACUGGAAUUCCUGGUGUAGCGGUGGAAUGCGCAGAUAUCAGGAGGAACACCGAUGGCGAAGGCAGGUCUCUGGGCUGUAACUGACGCUGAGGAGCGAAAGCAUGGGGAGCGAACAGGAUUAGAUACCCUGGUAGUCCAUGCCGUAAACGUUGGGCACUAGGUGUGGGGACCAUUCCACGGUUUCCGCGCCGCAGCUAACGCAUUAAGUGCCCCGCCUGGGGAGUACGGCCGCAAGGCUAAAACUCAAAGGAAUUGACGGGGGCCCGCACAAGCGGCGGAGCAUGCGGAUUAAUUCGAUGCAACGCGAAGAACCUUACCAAGGCUUGACAUGUUCCCGAUCGCCGUAGAGAUACGGUUUCCCCUUUGGGGCGGGUUCACAGGUGGUGCAUGGUUGUCGUCAGCUCGUGUCGUGAGAUGUUGGGUUAAGUCCCGCAACGAGCGCAACCCUCGUUCCAUGUUGCCAGCACGUAAUGGUGGGGACUCAUGGGAGACUGCCGGGGUCAACUCGGAGGAAGGUGAGGACGACGUCAAAUCAUCAUGCCCCUUAUGUCUUGGGCUUCACGCAUGCUACAAUGGCCGGUACAAUGGGUUGCGAUACUGUGAGGUGGAGCUAAUCCCAAAAAGCCGGUCUCAGUUCGGAUUGGGGUCUGCAACUCGACCCCAUGAAGUCGGAGUCGCUAGUAAUCGCAGAUCAGCAACGCUGCGGUGAAUACGUUCCCGGGCCUUGUACACACCGCCCGUCAAGUCACGAAAGUUGGUAACACCCGAAGCCGGUGGCCUAACCCUUAUGGGGGGAGCCGUCGA
RNAcentral lists this ribosomal RNA (1394 nucleotides) under Micrococcus sp. FXJ8.214. RNAcentral describes it as "bacterial SSU rRNA". It matches the Rfam family "Bacterial small subunit ribosomal RNA". The record is from RNAcentral. Lineage: Bacteria; Bacillati; Actinomycetota; Actinomycetes; Micrococcales; Micrococcaceae.